RNAcentral lists this ribosomal RNA (301 nucleotides) under uncultured bacterium. RNAcentral's name for it is "partial 16S ribosomal RNA". It matches the Rfam family "Bacterial small subunit ribosomal RNA", at positions 509 to 807 of the family's 1533-position model. The record is from RNAcentral.
CAGUAGCCGCGGUAAUACGUAGGGCGCGAGCGUUAAUCGGAAUUACUGGGCGUAAAGCGUGCGCAGGCGGUUAUAUAGGACAGAUGUGAAAUCCCCGGGCUCAACCUGGGACCUGCAUUUGUGACUGUAUAGCUAGAGUACGGUAGAGGGGGAUGGAAUUCCGCGUGUAGCAGUGAAAUGCGUAGAUAUGCGGAGGAACACCGAUGGCGAAGGCAAUCCCCUGGACCUGUACUGACGCUCAUGCACGAAAGCGUGGGGAGCAAACAGGAUUAGAUACCCGAGUAGUCCCUGUCUCUUAUAC